RNAcentral lists this ribosomal RNA (403 nucleotides) under Verrucomicrobiota bacterium. RNAcentral's name for it is "Verrucomicrobia bacterium partial 16S ribosomal RNA". It matches the Rfam family "Bacterial small subunit ribosomal RNA", at positions 355 to 776 of the family's 1533-position model. Lineage: Bacteria; Pseudomonadati; Verrucomicrobiota. The record is from RNAcentral.
UGGGGAAUAUUGCACAAUGGGGGAAACCCUGAUGCAGCGACGCCGCGUGAGCGAAGAAGGCUUUCGAGUCGUAAAGCUCUGUCCUAUGAGAAGAUAAUGACGGUAUCAUAGGAGGAAGCCCUGGCUAAUUACGUGCCAGCAGCCGCGGUAAUACGUAAGGUCCGAGCGUUGUCCGGAAUCAUUGGGCGUAAAGGGUACGUAGGCGGAUAAGCAAGUUAGAAGUGAAAUCCUAUAGCUCAACUAUAGUAAGCUUUUAAAACUGCUCAUCUUGAGGUAUGGAAGGGAAAGUGGAAUUCCUAGUGUAGCGGUGAAAUGCGCAGAUAUUAGGAGGAAUACCGGUGGCGAAGGCGACUUUCUGGCCAUAUACUGACGCUGAGGUACGAAAGCGUGGGUAGCAAACAGG